Molecule: transfer RNA, 68 nt
Filed under: Cryptocephalus cynarae
Lineage: Eukaryota; Metazoa; Arthropoda; Insecta; Coleoptera; Chrysomelidae
Description: tRNA-Tyr
Rfam family: tRNA
About the family: Transfer RNA (tRNA) molecules are approximately 80 nucleotides in length.
Source: RNAcentral
GGCGGGAUGGCCGAGUAUUAAGGCGUUAAAUUGUAAAUUUAAGAACGAAGAGGUUUCUUCUCUCACCA